RNAcentral lists this ribosomal RNA (2934 nucleotides) under Bacillus amyloliquefaciens. RNAcentral's name for it is "bacterial LSU rRNA". It matches the Rfam family "Bacterial large subunit ribosomal RNA". The record is from RNAcentral. Lineage: Bacteria; Bacillati; Bacillota; Bacilli; Caryophanales; Bacillaceae. RNAcentral also lists the same sequence under 2 other names.
CGGUUAAGUUAGAAAGGGCGCACGGUGGAUGCCUUGGCACUAGGAGCCGAUGAAGGACGGGACGAACACCGAUAUGCUUCGGGGAGCUGUAAGCAAGCUUUGAUCCGGAGAUUUCCGAAUGGGGAAACCCACCACUCGUAAUGGAGUGGUAUCCAUAUCUGAAUACAUAGGGUAUGAGAAGGCAGACCCGGGGAACUGAAACAUCUAAGUACCCGGAGGAAGAGAAAGCAAAUGCGAUUCCCUGAGUAGCGGCGAGCGAAACGGGACCAGCCCAAACCAAGAGGCUUGCCUCUUGGGGUUGUAGGACACUCUGUACGGAGUUACAAAGGAACGAGGUAGAUGAAGAGGUCUGGAAAGGCCCGCCAUAGAAGGUAACAGCCCUGUAGUCAAAACUUCGUUCUCUCCUGAGUGGAUCCUGAGUACGGCGGAACACGUGAAAUUCCGUCGGAAUCCGGGAGGACCAUCUCCCAAGGCUAAAUACUCCCUAGUGACCGAUAGUGAACCAGUACCGUGAGGGAAAGGUGAAAAGCACCCCGGAAGGGGAGUGAAAGAGAUCCUGAAACCGUGUGCCUACAAGUAGUCAGAGCCCGUUAACGGGUGAUGGCGUGCCUUUUGUAGAAUGAACCGGCGAGUUACGAUCCCGUGCAAGGUUAAGCAGAAGAUGCGGAGCCGCAGCGAAAGCGAGUCUGAAUAGGGCGAAUUGAGUACGUGGUCGUAGACCCGAAACCAGGUGAUCUACCCAUGUCCAGGGUGAAGUUCAGGUAACACUGAAUGGAGGCCCGAACCCACGCACGUUGAAAAGUGCGGGGAUGAGGUGUGGGUAGGGGUGAAAUGCCAAUCGAACCUGGAGAUAGCUGGUUCUCUCCGAAAUAGCUUUAGGGCUAGCCUCAAGGUAAGAGUCUCGGAGGUAGAGCACUGAUUGGACUAGGGGCCCCUACCGGGUUACCGAAUUCAGUCAAACUCCGAAUGCCGAUGACUUAUCCUUGGGAGUCAGACUGCGAGUGAUAAGAUCCGUAGUCGAAAGGGAAACAGCCCAGACCGCCAGCUAAGGUCCCAAAGUAUACGUUAAGUGGAAAAGGAUGUGGAGUUGCUUAGACAACCAGGAUGUUGGCUUAGAAGCAGCCACCAUUUAAAGAGUGCGUAAUAGCUCACUGGUCGAGUGACUCUGCGCCGAAAAUGUACCGGGGCUAAACGUAUCACCGAAGCUGCGGACUGUUCUUCGAACAGUGGUAGGAGAGCGUUCUAAGGGCUGUGAAGCAAGACCGGAAGGACUUGUGGAGCGCUUAGAAGUGAGAAUGCCGGUAUGAGUAGCGAAAGAGGGGUGAGAAUCCCCUCCACCGAAUGCCUAAGGUUUCCUGAGGAAGGCUCGUCCGCUCAGGGUUAGUCGGGACCUAAGCCGAGGCCGAAAGGCGUAGGCGAUGGACAACAGGUUGAUAUUCCUGUACCACCUCCUCACCAUUUGAGCAAUGGGGGGACGCAGGAGGAUAGGGUAAGCGCGGUAUUGGAUAUCCGCGUCCAAGCAGUUAGGCUGGGAAAUAGGCAAAUCCGUUUCCCGUGAAGGCUGAGCUGUGAUGGCGAGCGAAUUAUAGUAGCGAAGUUCCUGAUUCCACACUGCCAAGAAAAGCCUCUAGCGAGGUGAGAGGUGCCCGUACCGCAAACCGACACAGGUAGGCGAGGAGAGAAUCCUAAGGUGAUCGAGAGAACUCUCGUUAAGGAACUCGGCAAAAUGACCCCGUAACUUCGGGAGAAGGGGUGCUCUGUUAGGGUGCAAGCCCGAGAGAGCCGCAGUGAAUAGGCCCAGGCGACUGUUUAGCAAAAACACAGGUCUCUGCGAAGCCGUAAGGCGAAGUAUAGGGGCUGACGCCUGCCCGGUGCUGGAAGGUUAAGAGGAGCGCUUAGCGUAAGCGAAGGUGCGAAUUGAAGCCCCAGUAAACGGCGGCCGUAACUAUAACGGUCCUAAGGUAGCGAAAUUCCUUGUCGGGUAAGUUCCGACCCGCACGAAAGGCGCAACGAUCUGGGCACUGUCUCAACGAGAGACUCGGUGAAAUUAUAGUACCUGUGAAGAUGCAGGUUACCCGCGACAGGACGGAAAGACCCCGUGGAGCUUUACUGCAGCCUGAUAUUGAAUGUUGGUACAGCUUGUACAGGAUAGGUAGGAGCCUUGGAAACCGGAGCGCCAGCUUCGGUGGAGGCAUCGGUGGGAUACUACCCUGGCUGUAUUGACCUUCUAACCCGCCGCCCUUAUCGGGCGGGGAGACAGUGUCAGGUGGGCAGUUUGACUGGGGCGGUCGCCUCCUAAAAGGUAACGGAGGCGCCCAAAGGUUCCCUCAGAAUGGUUGGAAAUCAUUCGCAGAGUGUAAAGGCACAAGGGAGCUUGACUGCGAGACCUACAAGUCGAGCAGGGACGAAAGUCGGGCUUAGUGAUCCGGUGGUUCCGCAUGGAAGGGCCAUCGCUCAACGGAUAAAAGCUACCCCGGGGAUAACAGGCUUAUCUCCCCCAAGAGUCCACAUCGACGGGGAGGUUUGGCACCUCGAUGUCGGCUCAUCGCAUCCUGGGGCUGUAGUCGGUCCCAAGGGUUGGGCUGUUCGCCCAUUAAAGCGGUACGCGAGCUGGGUUCAGAACGUCGUGAGACAGUUCGGUCCCUAUCCGUCGCGGGCGCAGGAAAUUUGAGAGGAGCUGUCCUUAGUACGAGAGGACCGGGAUGGACGCACCGCUGGUGUACCAGUUGUUCUGCCAAGGGCAUCGCUGGGUAGCUAUGUGCGGACGGGAUAAGUGCUGAAAGCAUCUAAGCAUGAAGCCCCCCUCAAGAUGAGAUUUCCCAUUCCGCAAGGAAGUAAGAUCCCUGAAAGAUGAUCAGGUUGAUAGGUCUGAGGUGGAAGUGUGGCGACACAUGGAGCUGACAGAUACUAAUCGAUCGAGGACUUAACCAAUUU